This 30-nucleotide non-coding RNA is filed under the name Rattus norvegicus (Norway rat). Lineage: Eukaryota; Metazoa; Chordata; Mammalia; Rodentia; Muridae. The record is from RNAcentral.
UUGUCAACCACUACUACUGCAAACGCCCCA